Molecule: ribosomal RNA, 332 nt
Filed under: uncultured eukaryote
Lineage: Eukaryota
Description: partial 18S ribosomal RNA
Rfam family: Eukaryotic small subunit ribosomal RNA
Source: RNAcentral
CCCUUAGAUGUCCUGGGUUGCACGCGCGCUACACUGGAAGUUACGGAUUGAGAUACUACCUUGUCCGAAAUGGUCCGGGUAAUCACCUAAAAGCUUGUCAUAAUUGGAAUGGAUUAUUGUAACUAGUAAUCCUGAACGAGGAAUUCCUAGUAAGUCCCAGUCAACAGCUGGUACUGAUUACGUCCCUGCCCUUUGUACACACCGCCCGUCGCUACUACUGAUUGGACGUUUAAGCAAGAUUUUUAAACACUGACAGUGUGUAGUUCACGCUAUACUACAGUGAGAAGAAGAAGAUCGAGCUUACUUGUCUAGAGGAAGUAAAAGUCGUAACA